RNAcentral lists this ribosomal RNA (492 nucleotides) under uncultured bacterium. RNAcentral's name for it is "partial 16S ribosomal RNA". It matches the Rfam family "Bacterial small subunit ribosomal RNA", at positions 29 to 507 of the family's 1533-position model. The record is from RNAcentral.
AGUGAACGCUGGCGGUAGGCCUAACACAUGCAAGUCGAACGGCAGCACAGUACUAGCUUGCUCUUACGGGUGGCGAGUGGUGGACGGGUGCGGAAUACAUCGGAAUCUACUUUUUAGUGGGGGAUAACGUAGGGAAACUUACGCUAAUACCGCAUACGACCUACGUGUGAAAGCAGGGGAUCUUCGGACCUUGCGCGAUUGUAUGAGCCGAUGUCGGAUUAGCUAGUUGGCGGGGUAAAGGCCCACCAAGGCGACGAUCCGUAGCUGGUAUGAGAGGAUGAUCAGCCACACUGGAACUGAGACACGGUCCAGACUCCUACGGGAGGCAGCAGUGGGGAAUAUUGGACAAUGGGCGCAAGCCUGAUCCAGCCAUACCGCGUGGGUGAAGAAGGCCUUCGGGUUGUAAAGCCCUUUAGGUGGGAAAGAAAAGCAGCAGGUUAAUACCCCGCUGUUCUGACGGUACCAAAAGAAUAAGCACCGGCUAACUUCGUG